RNAcentral lists this ribosomal RNA (301 nucleotides) under uncultured bacterium. RNAcentral's name for it is "partial 16S ribosomal RNA". It matches the Rfam family "Bacterial small subunit ribosomal RNA", at positions 509 to 807 of the family's 1533-position model. The record is from RNAcentral.
CAGCAGCCGCGGGAAUACGGAGGGCGCGAGCGUUACCCGGAUUUACUGGGCGUAAAGGGCGUGUAGGCGGCCUGGGGCGUCCCAUGUGAAAGGCCACGGCUCAACCGUGGAGGAGCGUGGGAUACGCUCAGGCUAGAGGGUGGGAGAGGGUGGUGGAAUUCCCGGAGUAGCGGUGAAAUGCGCAGAUACCGGGAGGAACGCCGAUGGCGAAGGCAGCCACCUGGUCCACUUCUGACGCUGAGGCGCGAAAGCGUGGGGAGCAAACCGGAUUAGAUACCCCGGUAGUCCCUGUCUCUUAUAC